GUGCUUGCUUCAGUAGCACAUAUACUAAAAUUGGAACUAUACAGAGAAGAUUAGCAUGGCCCCUGCACAAGGAUGACAUGCAAAUUCGUGAAGUGUUCCAUAUUUUU
This 107-nucleotide small nuclear RNA is filed under the name Physeter macrocephalus (sperm whale). Lineage: Eukaryota; Metazoa; Chordata; Mammalia; Artiodactyla; Physeteridae. The record is from RNAcentral.